AGGUGGUGACUGUCUUGGGAGAACAUUUCAGAAAUAACUCCAGCUCAGAAUGCUCCAGAAAGCAGGCAGAACAAGGAGCAGUCGGGGAUGGGAGAUCAAGGAUGGAGUUUAUACCUCCCAGAACCAGCAGGAGGAAUCUCUUGAGAGAUGGUCUUAUGAAUGUUCUCUCCAGGAACAUUUGGAAGUUUUGAGGUGUUAUAGAAGCUGGUGAAGUUCUUUCAAAAGCUAUGGAUUCUGUUACUAGAAGCUUGCACAAAUGCAAAAGCCUGGAUGGAUUCCACUUCUUGGAACACAUCUUCCCUGAUGAAGAUCAACCCCAGUUCUAGUUUUAAGAACAAAACUAGUUCACGCUGCUUUAUUUCUAUAUGACCAUCUGCGCAUGUCUUAAGGCAGUGACCAAAGACUACAUACAGCCAUGCUGACUUUUUUCAGUAGCUUCAUCACAAAUUGUCUCUAUGAAUCACCCCCAGCUCCUCAGACAAUAAAAUCUUAGGAUCUGCUCUUCUCCAAAGACCUAGAUCAAUUUCAAUAUUUGUUGAAUAAAUAAACAUACUAAGAUCCUCAGAUACUUAUCUUAGAAACUGUUGUCAGAUUCUUCUGUACUUAUGUUGAUGUUUGUUUGUUUGUUUUGUGGUACCAGGGAUCGAACUCAGGACCUUGAGCUUGUGGGGCAGGCAGUGGCACCACUUAGCUAAAUCCCUGGCUGUAUUUAGGUUGAUGUUUUAAAAAUCCCAUCAGCAGGACUUUGUGUUCAACUUGACAUGAUAUUGACAUUUUCUUGCUUUCUAAUUGACAUGGCAGUCUGUUACUAUCUUUUGGAUCCCUCUCCUGGCCAUGUGCCACCUGUAUCAGACCAUAAAUGAUACUGAAACUGUGCCUGGCUUGGGGAUAGAGGGCUGGAAGGGACAGAUGGGCCCAGCAGGGAAUCACAAGCAUUUAGAACACAGAGAUGGCAUGAAAACUUCCUGAAGUCACCCAGAAUUGAGUACCUGUAUUAGCCAGGCCUAUCCAGAGAAACAGAGCUAAUAGAGCAUGUGUGUAUAUGUGUGUGUGUGUGUGUGUGUGUGUGCAGUCAGCUCUCUAAAUCCUUGGAUUCUGCAUUCAUGGAUUCAAUCAACUAAGAAUCAAAAAGGUAGUUAGGUCCUACAAUAGUUGUGUGUGUGUGUGUGUGUGUGUGUGUGUGCAGUCAGCUCUCUAAAUCCUUGGAUUCUGCAUUCAUGGAUUCAAUCAACUAAGAAUCAAAAAGGUAGUUAGGUCCUACAAUAGUUGUGUGUGUGCGUGCGUGUGUGUGUGUGUGUGUGUGUGUGUGUGGGCAGUCAGCUCUCUAAAUCCUUGGAUUCUACAUUCAUGGAUUCAACUAAGAAUCAAAAAGGUAGUUAGGUCCUACAAUUGUGUGUGUGUGUGUGUGUUUGUACCAAAUACGGACAGAUUAUUUUCUUUGUCAUGAGUCCAUAAACAAUACAGCAUAGCAAUUGUUUACACAGCAUUUACAUUGUUUUAGGUAUUAUAAGUCAUCUUGAGAUGAUUUAAACUAUAUGGGAAGAUGAUGUACAUAGUGUUACACGCAAACACUAUGCUAUUUUAUAUAGGAGAUUUGAUCAUCCAUGGCUUUGGUAUUGGGGAAGGUCCUAGGAACAAUUCACUGAAGACACCAAGGAGAGAAAGAAAUAGAGGGAAAGGGAUGGAAGGAGGAUGAGAGAGAGAGGGAAACAGAGAGAGAGGCUAAUUUUUAGGGACUGGCUCACAUAAUUGUGGAGUCUGGCAAGUCUAAAAUUUGCAGGGUGGGCCAGCAGGCUGGAGACCUAGGAAAGGGUUACAGUUCAAGUCCAAAGACAGUGUGCCAGCAGAAUUCACUCUCCUUCCAGGGAGGGCAAUCUUUUUUCCAUUAAGGAUUUCAACUGAUUGGAUGUGGCCCACUCAGAUUAUGGAAGGUAAGACUAAAAUGUUAAUCUCAUCAAAAA
This is a long non-coding RNA of Heterocephalus glaber (naked mole-rat), 1961 nucleotides long. NCBI's taxonomy places the organism in Eukaryota, Metazoa, Chordata, Mammalia, Rodentia, Bathyergidae. The record is from Ensembl.